This is a long non-coding RNA of Mustela erminea (ermine), 1957 nucleotides long. RefSeq lists it as uncharacterized. NCBI's taxonomy places the organism in Eukaryota, Metazoa, Chordata, Mammalia, Carnivora, Mustelidae. The transcript has 2 exons. The record is from RefSeq and is a predicted model, not a curated record.
UCUCUGCCCUCUCUCUCUCUCUAAAGACAAAUAAAUGAAAUAAAAAAUAAAAAUGUUAAGUUGCAGGUAAUUUUUCAAUACGUCAGGAGUUUUUCUGCAGUUCUUCCCCCUGCCACAAAAGUUUCUAGCAAGUGGACAGACGUAUCUUUCUUUUGUCCCACAUACUCUCGGUUUUGCCUUCUCGCUAAGGUGUAUGAUUCAAAGAGUUUCUCAAAUUGCCAACAGUUAAAUAGCAGGAAAGAAGUCUCGAAAAGAAAGCAAGUUUUCUACUAGUUUGGUGUCAGCUUUUUGAUCUGCCUAAAGACAAGAAGAUCCUUCCACACACUUCUGACCACCCGCUAAAACCAGGUCUCUGGGUUAUCUGCCCCAUGGCAAGGACCAUAUUUCAUUUAAAAAAACAAAAAAUAAAACACAAUAGAAUCAGACACUAACUCAGGAUUUUAACAACAACAUGAAAACUUGUUUCUCUGUUCCAUAAUCCCCCAUCUGCCUCGCUCAUGGCCAAAUGCCCGCGUGUACUUUUCUGCCUUUUCGGACCUGAAAAGAAAACAACAAACCCAGCAGCCCUACGAGUUAGAUGACAAGCAGGGCAGAGUCCGAGGAGACUUUAGUGUUAAGUCAACAGUGAUCAAUUAACGAUUGAGAAGAAACCCAUCUCAAUGGCUUACGCGUCCCUAGUUGGUCACUUCAAGGAAACACAGCUAGUUACAAAGCCUCUCGUCACUCACGAGUGUAAGGAAUGCAAGAGAUACUCUUGCCUAAGUCCUCCUGCUUCUCAAGAAAGACAAGGGUUCUCAGCUAUGGCUGGAAUGUUCCCAAGGAGAGACACCCGACAAAGCUGCCAGACCAGGAAGGCCAGCACAGCCUUGCGGCAGGGAGCACCCCAAGGACCUCCAAGCCCAGUCACUGAGCCCGUUUUGAAGGGCAUCAUGGAUGCACAGAAUUCCCAGCAGAAAUGGUGUGCACGUGUGCCUAACACCUCUGGGCCUAGCUCUGCUAAAAGUGGCUUCACAGAGUAUUGUCAACGCACAGGAUUUCCAGCAUCCAUUGGGAAGAAGCAACUCUUUGAGUCCCGCAGUCACAUCUGGACACACAUACACCCACCUGUCCAUGCAUCUUCCCACACACAUACAUAACUGUAUCGACACUCGUGCACGUAGACACCAAGAUACACAUCGAUUCACAUAUAAAUCCCUCUCACUCCCUGAGGAAAAGAAAAGCGCCUGUUCUUCAAGGCCCAGAGUCUUGCUCGAUGGAGCUCUCUGGCCCCGGCGGGGACGGGUCACCCCUGCGGCAACAUCACUGUCUCCAUGACUGUGAAUCCAAGCGUCAUGAGAUUCCAAAUCGCGACUUCACAGGGGUGUCGACGGCGCCUUCUAGAGGUGACGAUCUGCCAGGCUGAUGGCACUAGAUCCCUCUAAGACAGAAGUGCAGAGCAGAAAGGCCCCUUGAAUUCAGCAGCCACUAUCAAUCAUACAGCUAGUCUUGCCAACACUAGGAACUGAAAACUCAUCACCAAAGGCCCCGUUCUCUACCCACAUCCCGUAUCAGUCCCUCUGAUGCAAUAUUAUUUUAUUUUAUUGUCAGUCUUUGAAAAAAAUUGGGAAAAUAUCUGGUUUCUGAAAAAUAAGACCCUGCAUCAAAUGUGUAUUGAUAGAGAAUUCUUAAACUUUGAGGUAGAGUUACAACUCCACUAGGGGGAGCAAGAUGGCUAACUUGUCACCUGGGAGAUAGAGUGACGGUCAGGUUAUGUCAUUAAGACAAGGAACCUGGAAGAUCCACUUUGUCAAGACCUAAGAGAAGUCAAGCUUCUGAGAAAGUUCUUGGUAAUAAGAAUGUACGUACCCUCCCCCAAAUAGCUUUUCUAUUGAUCCCCAAGGGUCCAGGUUUUUAGGAAAUAAGAAUAAUGCAAUCUAAAACUCAGGUGUUAAAGUAUCAUUUCAUCACUUAAAAAACU